Molecule: long non-coding RNA, 762 nt
Organism: Strigops habroptila (Kakapo)
Lineage: Eukaryota; Metazoa; Chordata; Aves; Psittaciformes; Psittacidae
Exons: 3
Source: RefSeq, a predicted model, not a curated record
AACACCACCCGGACUGAAGGUGGAACGAAUGCGCUGAGUAACUUCAGUGUGUACGCGCUUACUUCCCAAAAACAGGUGGAGGAUUCUCAGCCUUGACUCCUGCUCACACGUCCCUCUCAGAUGGCACAGAUGGGUGGUAGCGCUGCCAGCACCACGUUGGAAAGGCUAUGGUUCAUUAGCGUCAUAUUAACACCUUCAGCUAUUUCCUGCAGUUCUGCCAGUUCUCUCCAAUCUUACUGCAAACCACACCGGGUGCUGGCCAGAGUUUGAAGAGAUAAUUCCAGCAAUGAGCAUAUUGGAGUAGCCAAGACACAGCUGCUCGAAACAGCAUCAUGCACCAGUUAUAUCUGCAGUGAAAAAAGAACUCCAAGAAAGCUACUGAGGACAGCUGCAAGUCAGUCCCCCUCAGGGGUCAUCAGUUUUUUGUCAUCUUCUGUAAGCUAACCCUGGGCAUGGCUUUAGAAGAUGAUUAAACCAAAGAUCUGUGUGUCAUUACUUCUUCUCCAACACCAGCUGCACCUUUUUAUCCAUGAAAGCCCCCAGAUUCAUGAUCCACAAUAGAAGCCUUCCUAUCUCUGGUAUUUCCUUGGCGUGCUGGUUACAAUCCCUUCUCCUGACCCAUUUCUAAACUGUCUUUGUUUAAAGAUUCUUAAUCUUUUCUGGAACUGCAUAAACAGAAGCAUGGAUCACCAGCUUGUGAACUAUGGCAGACCAAAGGCCUUUCAGUAUUCUCUCCAGCAAGUCUUCCACAGAGCUAUAAAG